RNAcentral lists this ribosomal RNA (255 nucleotides) under uncultured bacterium. Its description in RNAcentral is "partial 16S ribosomal RNA". It matches the Rfam family "Bacterial small subunit ribosomal RNA", at positions 524 to 776 of the family's 1533-position model. The record is from RNAcentral.
UACAGAGGGUGCGAGCGUUGUCCGGAAUCACUGGGCGUAAAGGGCGCGUAGGUGGUGGCUUAAGCGUGCGGUGAAAGCUCGGGGCUCAACCCCGAGUCGGCCGUGCGAACUGGGCUCACUGGAGCAUAGUAGAGGCAGGUGGAAUUCCGGGUGUAGCGGUGAAAUGCGCAGAUAUCAGGAGGAACACCGGUGGCGAAGGCGGAUCUCUGGGCCAUUACUGACGCUGGAGGAGCGAAAGCGUGGGGAGCGAACAGG